AUUGAACGCUAGCGGCAUGCCUAACACAUGCAAGUCGAACGGCAGCACGAGGAGCUUGCUCCUUGGUGGCGAGUGGCGGACGGGUGAGUAACGCGUAGGAAUCUGCCUCGUAGUGGGGGACAACCCGGGGAAACUCGGGCUAAUACCGCAUAAUCUCUUCGGAGCAAAGUUGGGGACCUUCGGGCCUAACACUAUGAGAUGAGCCUGCGUUGGAUUAGCUAGUUGGUGGGUAAAGGCCUACCAAGGCGACGAUCCAUAGCUGGUCUGAGAGGACGACCAGCCACACUGGGACUGAGACACGGCCCAGACUCCUACGGGAGGCAGCAGUGGGGAAUAUUGGACAAUGGGCGAAAGCCUGAUCCAGCAAUGCCGCGUGUGUGAAGAAGGCCUUCGGGUCGUAAAGCACUUUUAGUGGGGAAGAAAAAGACAAGGAUAAUACCCUUGGAAAUUGACGUUACCCACAGAAAAAGCACUGGCUAACUCUGUGCCAGCCGCCGCAGUAA
RNAcentral lists this ribosomal RNA (503 nucleotides) under uncultured bacterium. RNAcentral's name for it is "partial 16S ribosomal RNA". It matches the Rfam family "Bacterial small subunit ribosomal RNA", at positions 30 to 523 of the family's 1533-position model. The record is from RNAcentral.